RNAcentral lists this ribosomal RNA (413 nucleotides) under uncultured bacterium. Its description in RNAcentral is "bacterial SSU rRNA". It matches the Rfam family "Bacterial small subunit ribosomal RNA", at positions 196 to 604 of the family's 1533-position model. The record is from RNAcentral.
GGCCGCCAAAGGGAGCAAUCCCGGCCACGGAUGGGCAUGCGGCGCAUUAGCUAGUCGGCGGGGUAACGGCCCACCGAGGCGACGAUGCGUAGGGGUUCUGAGAGGAAGGCCCCCCACACUGGUACUGAGACACGGACCAUACUCCUACGGGAGGCAGCAGUGAGGAAUAUUGGUCAAUGGGCGCGAGCCUGAACCAGCCAAGUCGCGUGAGGGAGGACGGCCCUACGGGUUGUAAACCUCUUUUGCCGGGGAGCAACGGGCGCCACGUGUGGCGCCACUGAGAGUACCCGGAGAAAAAGCAUCGGCUAACUCCGUGCCAGCAGCCGCGGUAAUACGGAGGAUGCGAGCGUUAUCCGGAUUUAUUGGGUUUAAAGGGUGCGUAGGCGGAUCGUUAAGUCAGUGGUCAAAUUGAG